This 1156-nucleotide ribosomal RNA is filed under the name Clostridioides difficile. Its description in RNAcentral is "bacterial LSU rRNA". It matches the Rfam family "Bacterial large subunit ribosomal RNA", at positions 1325 to 2489 of the family's 2925-position model. The record is from RNAcentral. Lineage: Bacteria; Bacillati; Bacillota; Clostridia; Peptostreptococcales; Peptostreptococcaceae.
GAAUCCCACAGGCCGUAAACCCAAGGUUUCCAGGGGAAGGUUCGUCCGCCCUGGGUUAGUCGGGACCUAAGCUGAGGCCGAAAGGCGUAGGUGAUGGACAACAGGUUGAUAUUCCUGUACUACCGAUAACCGUUUGAGAGAAGGGAUGACACAGUAGGAUAAGCUAAGCACACUGUUGGUUAUGUGUGCCCAAGCAUUGAGGCAGUCAAAGUAGGCAAAUCCGCUUUGAUAAUGCUGGGAUGUGAUGGGGAGCGAAAUUUAGUAGCGAAGUAGCUGAUUUCACACUGUCAAGAAAAGUCUCUAUCGAGGUUAAAGGUACCCGUACCGCAAACCGACACAGGUGGGUGAGGAGAGUAUCCUAAGGCCAGCGAGAGAACUGUUGUUAAGGAACUCGGCAAAAUGACCCCGUAACUUAGGGAUAAGGGGUGCCACCAUCAGGUGGCCGCAGAGAAUAGGCCCAAGCGACUGUUUACCAAAAACAUAGGUUUCUGCUAAGUCGCAAGACGAUGUAUAGGAGCUGACGCCUGCCCGGUGCUGGAAGGUUAAGGGGAUCUGUUAGAGCAAUCGAAGCAGUGAACUUAAGCCCCAGUAAACGGCGGCCGUAACUAUAACGGUCCUAAGGUAGCGAAAUUCCUUGUCGGGUAAGUUCCGACCCGCACGAAAGGCGUAACGAUUUGGGCACUGUCUCAACAACAGACUCGGUGAAAUUGUAAUUCCGGUGAAGAUGCCGGAUACCUGCGACAGGACGGAAAGACCCCAUGGAGCUUUACUGUAGCUUGACAUUGGGUCUUGGUACUACAUGUACAGGAUAGGUGGGAGGCUUUGAAACCAGGACGCCAGUUUUGGCGGAGCCAUCCUUGGGAUACCACCCUUGUAGUACUGGGACUCUAACCAUAGGCCAUGAAUCUGGUCUUGGGACACUGUCAGGUGGGCAGUUUGACUGGGGCGGUCGCCUCCCAAAAGGUAACGGAGGCGCUCAAAGGUUCUCUCAGUACGGUCGGAAAUCGUACGUAGAGUGUAAAGGCAAAAGAGAGCUUGAUUGCAAGACAUACAGGUCGAGCAAGGAUGAAAAUCGGACUUAGUGAUCCGGUGGUUCUGCGUGGAAGGGCCAUCGCUCAACGGAUAAAAGCUACCCUGGGGAUAACAGGCUUAUCUC